AUGCAAAUCUUCGAGAAGACCCUGACCAACAAGACCAUCACCCUAGAUGUGGAGCCCAGUGACACCAUCGAGAACGUGAAGGCAAGAUCCAGGAUAAAGAAAGAGGGCAUCCCCCCUGACCAGCAAAGGCUCAUCUUUGCCGGAAAGCAGCUAGAAGAUGGCUGCACCCUCUCUGAUUACAACAUCCAGAGUUAAGCCUGUACCGGGUCCUCUGUCUGAGGGGUGGCUAUUAA
RNAcentral lists this long non-coding RNA (233 nucleotides) under Mus musculus (house mouse). RNAcentral's name for it is "long non-coding RNA chr2:121405240-121405473". The record is from RNAcentral. Lineage: Eukaryota; Metazoa; Chordata; Mammalia; Rodentia; Muridae.